AGUAACACGUAAACAACCUGCCUUCAGGAUGGGGACAACAGACGGAAACGACUGCUAAUACCGAAUAAGUUCCAAGAGCCGCAUGGCCCAUGGAAGAAAAGGUGGCCUCUACCUGUAAGCUAUCGCCUGAAGAGGGGUUUGCGUCUGAUUAGCUGGUUGGAGGGGUAACGGCCCACCAAGGCGACGAUCAGUAGCCGGUCUGAGAGGAUGAACGGCCACACUGGAACUGAGACACGGCCCAAACUCCUACGGGAGGCAGCAUG
This 263-nucleotide ribosomal RNA is filed under the name uncultured bacterium. RNAcentral's name for it is "partial 16S ribosomal RNA". It matches the Rfam family "Bacterial small subunit ribosomal RNA", at positions 109 to 353 of the family's 1533-position model. The record is from RNAcentral.